GAAAGUUGCUGUGAUUUUGCUCCUCCCUGGGGAAAAGUCAGACCAAUUUCUUGGAUUGUCUUUGCUCAAGCAGCCAGUUUCAGCCCAGAUGAGAGAGAUUGCUGAAGGGCAAUGAACUGUCUUCAUCUCUGAAAUGUCUCACUCAAUUAAUCUGUCAGCCAUGGGACUACAUCAAUAUUUUUCUUUGCUUGGAGAACCAAUAUGCAUAAGAUCAAUCUUCCAGAAAACUAUUUUGCAUUGCUAGAACCUUAUAUCUUUAUUUUUGUUUAUUUUUAUUCUGUUAUAUGAUUUUUUAAAUGUAUAAAUGUAUUGAGUAGUUUCCAAAUAUAUAUUUUAUUAAUUUUAUUAAUAAGAUCCUUGUACUUUCCUUUAAGUAUUGCAGCAUUCUUCUCAAACAAAGCCUCCUAGUUAAUUUUUAUUUCUUUGCCUCUUAUCCUUUUUUACUCAAUGUGUUUGAUGAAUAUUUGUGUGUAAACCCUUUUUAUCUAAUCCAACACAUUUGCAUUUGACUUUGAAAAGUAAAACUUCUGUGUUUUCAUAGAUAAGGUUUUAUUACUCUAUUCAAAGCAUUUGGAUUAAAGACUACUGCUUAUUGUCCUCUGUUAGUCAAAAUGCAGUUGCAGUGUCUGCCUGUUAAAGGAUAUGAACUGAAUGUGGCCCAGCAUAUUUAGCCUAUGUGGCAGGAGCACAGCAAGAAAGAA
Molecule: long non-coding RNA, 701 nt
Organism: Zonotrichia leucophrys gambelii
Lineage: Eukaryota; Metazoa; Chordata; Aves; Passeriformes; Passerellidae
Exons: 3
Source: RefSeq, a predicted model, not a curated record